Molecule: unclassified non-coding RNA, 796 nt
Filed under: Hevea brasiliensis (rubber tree)
Lineage: Eukaryota; Viridiplantae; Streptophyta; Magnoliopsida; Malpighiales; Euphorbiaceae
Source: RNAcentral
GGAAUAUGGAACUAGUGGGAUUAUAUGCUUGUGGGGUUAAUGGAUUUUGGGAGAUGUUGCGAUUUACCUGUUAAUUAUUGGAGAUGGAAGAUCGUAUGAUUUCCAUGUAAUAUUGCAUGGUGGUGGUUUUUGGGUUAAGUUGCUAAUUAUGAGUGAUUAGGAGGUUGAUUUUAUGGUUGUCAUGUUGUAUUAUCUUGCAUGUUGGUUGGAGGAGAGAAAUAAUGAUGUUUGGAGGCCUUAAUUGAUGUAUGAGUUUGAUUAAUUGUGUCUCUGCUAGUCUGGGUCCUCUGGGAGUGAUAGUAAUGAUGGCCCCAGAUGGUAAAGUUUGGUCUCUAAUUAUAAUAUAUUUUCUUUCUUAUUAUUUAGUUGUCCAUUAUGCGUACGGAUUGUUUAGAGUCCUAAAUUGGCUUGUGGGUUGGACUAAUAAUUUGUUCCUUGCCUUAUUUUUAUUUUCUGAUAUUUGGAAUGUACAUUUUAGUCUUUAAUGGCAACAAUCUUUUUUCCUAGUUAUGCAAUGAUUUGCAAUCUCUCUCUCAGUUUCAGGAUGUGCUUCACUCAUGGUAAUAUUAUUGAAAAUGAAUUGACCAAUUUGAUUGUAUUCUUAAGCAUGCCUCUUUGUCAUACCUAAUCAUAACUCCAUAAGCACGUCUAAAAUUUCAUGAGCUUACCAUUUUGAGUAAUCUUUUUCCUUUCUAUUUGCUCUUAAAUGCCAUUGAUAUCAUCCCAUCAGAGAUAAGCAACCAAACGGAAUUUUGUUGAGUAAUAGAUUCACGCACUCAUGUUUCCCUUAUUUUAU